UACGUAGGGUGCAAGCGUUAUCCGGAAUUAUUGGGCGUAAAGAGCUCGUAGGCGGUUUGUCACGUCUGCCGUGAAAAUUCGAGGCUCAACCUCGAACUUGCGGUGGGUACGGGCAGACUAGAGUGUGGUAGGGGAGACUGGAAUUCCUGGUGUAGCGGUGAAAUGCGCAGAUAUCAGGAGGAACACCGAUGGCGAAGGCAGGUCUCUGGGCCACUACUGACGCUGAGAAGCGAAAGCAUGGGGAGCGAACAGG
This 253-nucleotide ribosomal RNA is filed under the name uncultured bacterium. RNAcentral describes it as "partial 16S ribosomal RNA". It matches the Rfam family "Bacterial small subunit ribosomal RNA", at positions 524 to 776 of the family's 1533-position model. The record is from RNAcentral.